Ribosomal RNA from Limnochorda pilosa, 2997 nucleotides. It matches the Rfam family "Bacterial large subunit ribosomal RNA". The record is from Rfam. Lineage: Bacteria; Bacillati; Bacillota; Limnochordia; Limnochordales; Limnochordaceae.
GGCCAAGCAAGAGAAGGCCGACGGUGGAUGCCUAGGCGCUUUCGGGCCGAUGAAGGACGGGGCCAGCACCGAUAUGCCCCGGGGAGCCGCUAGCAGGCUUUGAUCCGGGGAUCUCCGAAUGGGGCAACCCGCCAGGGCGAGGAGUCCUGGCAGCAAGGCGCAAGCCUUGCGGGGCACCGGGGGAAGUGAAACAUCUCAGUACCCCGAGGAAGAGAAAGCAACCGCGAUUCCCCAAGUAGCGGCGAGCGAACGGGGAAGAGCCCAAACCGUCCGGGCUGAGAAGCCCACCGGCGUUGCCCGGGCGGGGUUGUGGGACGGUCCGUCGGGCGACGGUGGUCGCCCGGGGGGAACGGAGAGCCGAGCUGAAGGGCCUGGAAAGGUCCGCCAGAGAGCGUGAAAGCCGCGUAGGCGGAGGCUCGAAGGGAACCCGUGACCGAUCCCGAGUACCACGGGACACGAGGAAUCCCGUGGGAAUCCGGGGGGACCACCCUCCAAGGCUAAAUACCCGAAGCGACCGAUAGCGAACCAGUACCGUGAGGGAAAGGUGAAAAGCACCCCGGAAGGGGAGUGAAAGAGAACCUGAAACCGUCGGCCGACAAGCAGUCGGAGGGGCGAUAGGCCCUGACGGCGUACUUUUUGUAGAACGGACCGGCGAGUGGUCCUGAGGAGCGAGGCGAACCGGGGGAAGCCGGGAAGCCGGAGCGCAAGCGAGUCUGAACAGGGCGACGAGUUCCUCGGGGCCGACCCGAAGCUGGGUGAGCUACCCAUGGCCAGGGUGAAACCUCGCUAAACCGAGGUGGAGGCCCGAACCACGUGGUCGUUGAAACGGCCUGGGAUGAGCUGUGGGUAGGGGUGAAAUGCCAAUCGAACCCAGUGAUAGCUGGUUCUCCCCGAAAUCGCUUGAGGGCGAGCCUGGUCGAACGAGUUGCGGGGUAGCGCGCUGAUGGGGGAAGGGGCCGGAGAGGUUACCAACUCCCGUUAAACGACGAAUCCGCAACCCGAACCGGCCGGAGUCAGACUGCGGGGGAUAAGCUCCGUGGUCAAAAGGGAAACAGCCCAGAUCGCCAGCUAAGGUCCCCAAGCACGGGCUCAGUGGUAAAGGUGGUAGGGUCGCGCAGACAGCCAGGAGGUUGGCUUGGAAGCAGCCAUUCCUUGAAAGAGUGCGUAAUAGCUCACUGGUCGAGUGACCCUGCGCCGAAAAUGUAACGGGGCUCAAGCCCGUCACCGAAGCUGCGGGCCUCCUCCUUGGAGGAGGCGGUAGGGGAGCGUUCCGCACGCCGCUGAAGCCGAACCCGGAAGGGACGGUGGAGGGUGCGGAAGUGAGAAUGCCGGUAUAAGUAGCGCAAAGGCUGGUGAGAAUCCAGCCCGCCGAAAGCCUAAGGGUUCCUGAGGAAGGUUCGUCCUCUCAGGGUCAGUCGGGACCUAAGCCGAGGCCGAAAGGCGUAGGCGAUGGACAACGGGUCGACAUUCCCGUACCACCGUCUUCCCGUCUGAGCGAUGGGGUGACGCAGGGGGGCACGGUCAGCCCACGGAUGGAAGCGUGGGUCCAAGCGGGUAGCCGGGCGGGGGAGGCAAAUCCCUCCCGCCAUCCAACGGUGAGCCGUGAUGGGGAGCGAAACUCAAGUAGCGAAGGACCGGAGCCCGGACUGCCAAGAAAAGCCUCUAGCGAGGGAAGCGGUGCCCGUACCGCAAACCGACACAGGUAGGCGAGGCGAGGAUCCUAAGGCGCGCGAGAGAACCCCUGUUAAGGAACUCGGCAAAAUGCCGCCGUAACUUCGGAAGAAGGCGGGCCCUGCCGGGUGUAGCCCCCAGCGGGCGAAGCUUGGCGGGGCGGCAGAAGAGAGGCCCAAGCGACUGUUUACCAAAAACACAGGUCUCUGCGAAGGCGCAAGCCGAUGUAUAGGGGCUGACGCCUGCCCAAUGCCGGAAGGUUACGGGGAGGGGUCAGGGCGCAAGCCCGAAGCUCCGAACCUAAGCCCCGGUCAAUGGCGGCCGUAACUAUAACGGUCCUAAGGUAGCGAAAUUCCUUGUCGGGUAAGUUCCGACCUGCACGAAUGGCGUAACGACUUGGGCGCUGUCUCGACAGGGGGCUCGGCGAAAUUGUAGUACCCGUGAAGAUGCGGGUUACCUGCGACUAGACGGAAAGACCCCGUGGAGCUUGACUGUAUCCUGGGAGUGGACGUCGGCUGAGGGUGUAUAGGAUAGGUGGGAGGCUGGGAAGCCGGGACGUCAGUUUCGGUGGAGCCACCGGUGGAAUACCACUCUCCUUCAGUGGGCGUUCUAACCGAGCCGUGUGAAUCCACGGCCGGGACCCUCCCAGGGGGGCAGUUUGACUGGGGCGGUCGCCUCCUAAAGUGUAACGGAGGCGUCCAAAGGUUCCCUCAGCGCGGUCGGAAAUCGCGCGGCGAGUGCAAAGGCACAAGGGAGCUUGACGGCAAGACCGACAGGUCGAGCCGGGGCGAAAGCCGGGCUUAGUGAUCCGGUGGUACCGUGUGGAAGGGCCAUCGCUCAUCGGAUAAAAGCUACCCCGGGGAUAACAGGCUGAUCUCCCCCAAGAGUCCACAUCGACGGGGAGGUUUGGCACCUCGAUGUCGGCUCGUCGCAUCCUGGGGCUGGAGUCGGUCCCAAGGGUUGGGCUGUUCGCCCAUUAAAGCGGUACGCGAGCUGGGUUCAGAACGUCGUGAGACAGUUCGGUCCCUAUCUGUCGCAGGCGCAGGAGAUCUGAGGGGAUCCGUCCCCAGUACGAGAGGACCGGGACGGACGCACCGCUCGUCUACCAGUUGUCCCGCCAGGGGCACGGCUGGUCCGCGAUGUGCGGACGGGAGAAGCGCUGAAAGCAUCUAAGUGCGAAGCCCACCCCAAGAUGAGAUCUCCCACCCAAGGGGCGCAAGCCCUGAGGGGUAAGACCCCUGGAAGAUGACCAGGUUGAUAGGCCGGCGGUGCAAGGCGGGCAACCGUCUCAGCUGUCCGGUACUAAUCGGUCGAGGGCUUGGCCGU